This 1489-nucleotide ribosomal RNA is filed under the name uncultured SAR11 cluster bacterium HF0770_37D02. RNAcentral describes it as "16S ribosomal RNA". It matches the Rfam family "Bacterial small subunit ribosomal RNA". The record is from RNAcentral. Lineage: Bacteria; Pseudomonadati; Pseudomonadota; Alphaproteobacteria; Candidatus Pelagibacterales.
UUAAACUUGAGAGUUUGAUCAUGGCUCAGAACGUACGCUGGCGGCACGCCUAACACAUGCAAGUCGAACGCAGUAGCAAUACUGAGUGGCGAACGGGUGAGUAUAAUGUGGGUAUCUGCCUUUUGGUUUGGAAUAACACGAGGAAACUUGUGCUAAUACCGAAUAAGCCCUUACGGGGAAAGUUUUAACGCCGAAAGAUGAGCCUGCACUUGAUUAGCUAGUUGGUAGGGUAAUGGCCUACCAAGGCAACGAUCAAUAGCUGAUCUGAGAGGAUGAUCAGCCACAUUGGGACUGAGACACGGCCCAAACUCCUACGGGAGGCAGCAGUGGGGAAUCUUGCACAAUGGGGGAAACCCUGAUGCAGCGAUGCCGCGUGAGUGAAGAAGGCCUUUGGGUUGUAAAGCUCUUUCGUCGGGGAAGAAAAUGACUGUACCCGAAUAAGAAGGUCCGGCUAACUUCGUGCCAGCAGCCGCGGUAAUACGAAGGGACCUAGCGUAGUUCGGAAUUACUGGGCUUAAAGAGCUCGUAGGUGGUUAAAAAAGUUGGUGGUGAAAUCCCAAGGCUCAACCUUGGAACUGCCACCAAAACUUUUUAGCUAGAGUGUGAUAGAGGAAAGUGGAAUUUCUAGUGUAGAGGUGAAAUUCGUAGAUAUUAGAAAGAACACCGAAUGCGAAGGCAACUUUCUGGAUCAUUACUGACACUGAGGAGCGAAAGCAUGGGUAGCGAAGAGGAUUAGAUACCCUCGUAGUCCAUGCUGUAAACGAUGUGUGCUAGACGUUGGGAAUUUAUUUCUCAGUGUCGCAGCAAAAGCGUUAAGCACACCGCCUGGGGAGUACGACCGCAAGGUUAAAACUCAAAUGAAUUGACGGGGACCCGCACAAGCAGUGGAGCAUGUGGUUUAAUUCGAAGAUACGCGCAGAACCUUACCAACUCUUGACAUGUUCGUCGCGACUCUAAGAAACUAGAGUCUUCGGUUCGGCCGGACGAAACACAGGUGCUGCAUGGCUGUCGUCAGCUCGUGUCGUGAGAUGUUGGGUUAAGUCCCGCAACGAGCGCAACCCUUACUUUUAGUUGCUACCAUUUAGUUGGGCACUCUAAAAGAACUGCCAGUGAUAAGCUGGAGGAAGGUGGGGAUGACGUCAAGUCCUCAUGGCCCUUACGAGUUGGGCUACACACGUGCUACAAUGGUACUUACAAUGAGAUGCGAAGAGGCGACUCUAAGCCAAUCCCAAAAAGGUACCUCAGUUCGGAUUGCACUCUGCAACUCGAGUGCAUGAAGCUGGAAUUGCUAGUAAUCGCGGAUCAGCGCGCCGCGGUGAAUACGUUCCCGGGUCUUGUACACACCGCCCGUCACACCAUGGAAGUUGGUUACACCUUAAGGCAAAAUGUUAACCUUCGGGAAACAUUUGACUACGGUACGAUCAGCGACUGGGGUGAAGUCGUAACAAGGUAGCCGUAGGGGAACCUGCGGCUGGAUCACCUCCUUUCU